Molecule: non-coding RNA, 30 nt
Filed under: Mus musculus (house mouse)
Lineage: Eukaryota; Metazoa; Chordata; Mammalia; Rodentia; Muridae
Source: RNAcentral
UAGGAAUUCCAGGGUGGAAGAGUAUUCUGC